Non-coding RNA from Vicia faba (fava bean), 300 nucleotides. The record is from the annotation of a GenBank genome assembly. NCBI's taxonomy places the organism in Eukaryota, Viridiplantae, Streptophyta, Magnoliopsida, Fabales, Fabaceae.
AUGUUGUUCAAAAAGUUUCAAGAUUACAUUUUUACAAAAGGUUCCUUAAACGCCAUAACUAACAGGCAAAAUAUAGAUGCUGCUAGAACAUCAUCAACAAGUUUACACGAAAGGACUGCUAGCUCCAAUGAAGGCAAUAUCGUUUUAAUCGGCCAUCCAUCAAUAGCACCAUAUAGAAGGGAAUCUUCAGGGGGCCAUAGAUCUGAACUAUCUCAAAACCAUGUUAGAACUGUAUCGGCUGGUGCAGUCCCUGAGGCAAGGUUUCAAGAAGCACAAGGCUGCAACUUACUACCCGCAUAG